This 189-nucleotide ribosomal RNA is filed under the name uncultured Leptolinea sp. RNAcentral describes it as "partial 16S ribosomal RNA". It matches the Rfam family "Bacterial small subunit ribosomal RNA", at positions 1194 to 1382 of the family's 1533-position model. Lineage: Bacteria; Bacillati; Chloroflexota; Anaerolineae; Anaerolineales; Anaerolineaceae. The record is from RNAcentral.
CAUGGCCCUUAUAUCCAGGGCUACACACGUGCUACAAUGGCCAACACAAUAGGUUGCUAAGCCGCGAGGUGGCGCCAAUCCAUAAAGUUGGUCUCAGUUCAGAUUGUAGGCUGCAACCCGCCUGCAUGAAGAUGGAGUUGCUAGUAACCGCAGGUCAGCUAUACUGCGGUGAAUACGUUCCCGGGGCUU